RNAcentral lists this non-coding RNA (113 nucleotides) under Streptosporangium subroseum. Its description in RNAcentral is "TPP sequence". It matches the Rfam family "TPP riboswitch aptamer (THI element)". Rfam says of the family: Vitamin B(1) in its active form thiamin pyrophosphate (TPP) is an essential coenzyme that is synthesised by coupling of pyrimidine and thiazole moieties in bacteria. The previously detected thiamin-regulatory element, thi box was extended, resulting in a new, highly conserved RNA secondary structure, the THI element, which is widely distributed in eubacteria and also occurs in some archaea. Lineage: Bacteria; Bacillati; Actinomycetota; Actinomycetes; Streptosporangiales; Streptosporangiaceae. The record is from Rfam by way of RNAcentral.
AUCAACCAACGCGGGAGCCCGGAUGACCGGGCUGAGAGGACGGCUACUGCGGCCGCCGACCGCCAGAACCUGCUCCGGGUAAUGCCGGCGAAGGGAGUUUGCGCGAUGACUUC